UGUCUCAUUAAGAAACACUUGCUAAUAUCCACUCACUCUACACUUUACCAAACGGACGGACCAAAUCCUGCUCUUUCAGUACCAAGCAUCUUCUUCUGCGUAGCGAAUUGUGAUCACCGGAAACAGAAGAAUGAAGGACCUGGGCUUUGUUGCAGUGAUGUUGGCGGUAGAGUUGAUGGACGUGAUUGCCAACACUAUAAGCAAAGCAGCCAUGAAGAAGGGCAUGAAUGACUUUGUGUUUGUCAUGUACUCCAAUGCCUUCGGAACAUGCUUUCUCUUUCUCAUAACUUUAAUCUUUUAUAGGAAAAGAACACUUCCUCCACUCUCCUAUAAAAUCAUUGGCCUGUUAUUUGUUGUUGGCUUCCUCAGUUGCAGUAACCAGAUGCUCAAGUUUUUUGGCAUAGAUUACAGCUCUCCUACUUUGUCCUCAGCAAUGUCUGAUUUGAUCCCGGCCUUUACCUUCAUACUCGCCAUCAUCUUCAGGAUGGAAAAAUUGGAUUGGAAAACUAAUAGCAGUUGGGCAAAGUCUAUUGGCACAUUGGUAACAAUCUCUGGGGCCUUGAUAAUGUCGGUGUACAAAGGGCAGGCAGUGAUAAAUAAUGAUCCCUCUCUUAAAUUGUUCCCUCGAAAACUUGCCUCGUCUAUGGAAUUUGACUGGGUAUUUGGGGCAGUGUUGCUUGCGGCUCAUAGCUUUUGUCUCUCAAUUAACUUUAUAGUUUUGACACGGAUAGUCAGAGAAUACCCUUCAGAGUUGGUGGUGAUGCUCAUUCGCACUGCAUUAGCCUCUAUACUAUCUGUUCCUGCUGCGAUGCUUUCAGUAAAGGAUCUUAAAGCAUUGAGACUGGAAUUUAAUAUGGAGUUGAUAGCCAUUGGACUUUCUGCAAUUUUCGUCUUAUCCUUUGGAAGUGUCAUCGCUACCUGGACCAUAGGAAAGAAAGGCCCUGUUUUUGUUGCAAUGUUUACUCCACUUACAAUACUCUUUGCAGUCAUCUUGGGAAUUACUUUUCUUGGGGACUCUCUCUAUAUUGGAAGGCAUAAUGGGCAGGAACAAGUGGCGUGAGCUGAAGCACCGCUACAAUGUCGCUGAGAUCGAGGUCCCCGAGCCUCAAGAGGAGGAGGUUUCGCCCCUGAAGGUCAACCAAAAAAGAAAGAGGGGCGAGAAAGAGGUCGGGGGGACCUCUGCUCCUCGUAGCACAGAGGAUGUGACCUCCAAGGCUGCUGAUGCCGACGCAGUCAACCUUACUGGGAGUCCUCCACCUGGGGAGGCUCCCCAAAUGGCUGUUGCGGAGACUGCUAAGCAAGUUGCUCCCACUGCCGAGGCAAGGAUAGCUGCCGAGGUGGGGGCCCAGGUCGCUAAGCAAGUCGCCUAGGCCGCCGUGGCAGGGGACGUCGUCGAGACUCAGGUGCCCCCGAGGCCGGAGGCACCAGGCAUGGAUCCUCCUAUUGCCGAGCAGGGGAUGCCUGUUUCUGCCUCUGUCGAGGCUCGCGGCAAAGGGCCGAACUUCGAGGUCCCCACAGCUACGCCUGCAGCUUCAGCGUCGCCGUCUGGUUCAUCGUAGGGGGCUUCCCAGAGCCAAUAUUUAGCUCACCGCUUCGGGAAGGGCCGCUCGCAGGUGCGAUUGGACCAUGUGAGUGCUUCAGCUGACAUGGACUCGCUGUGGAGCGCGGGAGUGACUACCGAGAAGUUCUUCCCCCAAGGUUCGCUGAGCUCGGACGACCAGGGGCUGAUAGACGAGGUCGGGCCCGUGGAAGGCCUUGACGCCGCCUAGGUCUUUCUAUAGAGGACUAUGGCGAUUGUGGACCACUGGAAGCAUAAGUGGUCCAAUCAGCAGGAGGACCUGGUUAGGCUGAGGAGCCGAGUCCAACCUUUGAGGGAGGAGAACAGGGCCCUAAAGGAGCAGAACAAGGUUUUGAGCGCCGCCCUUGGUGAAGCAAAAAUUCAGGGUGCCGAGCUUCGAGCUGCGAGGGGCGACCUUGCGAGGGUCCAGAAGUCUCUGGAGAUCGCCCUGCGCUCCAACGAGAGUUACGCCUCCCAGGUAAACGAGCUGCAGGGGGUCGCCGCAUCGUCUUGAGGUCGGAUACGCUUCUUGGAAGAUGAGGUGACGUCUUCCCGUGGUCGGGUUCGCUCCUUGGAGGAUGAAGUGACAUCCCUGAAGAGCGAGUUGGUGGCGGCGGUUGAGAAGUGCCUCUGUGACGAGGUCGUCCUCGGUGGCAAAGAGGAGGAGGUCACCUCUCUAAGAGUGGAGGUGGCGAAUCUGGAGGCGGAAAGGGCAGUGCUGGUGAAGAAGCUGGAGGAAACCGAGCAGUCUGUCUUGUUUGAGCAUAAGCGGGUUUUCUCAAGGCAGCUCGCCAGGCGAGGCUUCUUACCCCGGGGUUCGACUUCUCUGCCAUGCACGUGGAGAAGGUUGUUCGCUUCGGCAAGCUGGUAAAGGAGGAUGACGUCGAGGACAACUCCAGCGAGAAUGCCUCUGCGUAGGCUAAAUGUGUAAUAGCCUAGUUUAAUCUUCUCUAUUUUAUUUUUUUUUGUUGAAUUCAAGUGUGGAACUUUGAAAACAUCGCUGUGUAUAUAUGUA
This is an RNA transcript of Cajanus cajan (pigeon pea), 2573 nucleotides long. It is a transcript of the gene named WAT1-related protein At5g40230, with no coding region annotated. The record is from RefSeq and is a predicted model, not a curated record. NCBI's taxonomy places the organism in Eukaryota, Viridiplantae, Streptophyta, Magnoliopsida, Fabales, Fabaceae.